RNAcentral lists this ribosomal RNA (460 nucleotides) under Acinetobacter sp. oral taxon C51. RNAcentral describes it as "bacterial SSU rRNA". It matches the Rfam family "Bacterial small subunit ribosomal RNA", at positions 30 to 483 of the family's 1533-position model. The record is from RNAcentral. Lineage: Bacteria; Pseudomonadati; Pseudomonadota; Gammaproteobacteria; Moraxellales; Moraxellaceae.
AUUGAACGCUGGCGGCAGGCUUAACACAUGCAAGUCGAGCGGAGCGAGGGUGCUUGCACCUUAGCUUAGCGGCGGACGGGUGAGUAAUGCUUAGGAAUCUGCCUAUUAGUGGGGGACAACAUUCCGAAAGGGAUGCUAAUACCGCAUACGCCCUACGGGGGAAAGCAGGGGAUCUUCGGACCUUGCGCUAAUAGAUGAGCCUAAGUCGGAUUAGCUAGUUGGUGGGGUAAAGGCCUACCAAGGCGACGAUCUGUAGCGGGUCUGAGAGGAUGAUCCGCCACACUGGGACUGAGACACGGCCCAGACUCCUACGGGAGGCAGCAGUGGGGAAUAUUGGACAAUGGGGGGAACCCUGAUCCAGCCAUGCCGCGUGUGUGAAGAAGGCCUUUUGGUUGUAAAGCACUUUAAGCGAGGAGGAGGCGCUCUAGGAUAAUACCCUAGAUGCGUGGACGUACUCGCA